RNAcentral lists this ribosomal RNA (435 nucleotides) under uncultured bacterium. RNAcentral describes it as "bacterial SSU rRNA". It matches the Rfam family "Bacterial small subunit ribosomal RNA", at positions 957 to 1392 of the family's 1533-position model. The record is from RNAcentral.
UAACGCGAAGAACCUUACCUGGGCUUGAACCGCUAUUGACCAACGGUAGAAAUGUCGUCUUCCCACAAGGGACAGUAGUAGAGGUGCUGCAUGGCUGUCGUCAGCUCGUGCCGUGAGGUGUUGGGUUAAGUCCCGCAACGAGCGCAACCCUUAUUCGUAGUUGCCACCCGCAAGGGGGAACUCUACGAGGACUGCUCCGGAUAACGGAGAGGAAGGUGGGGAUGACGUCAAGUCAGCACGGCCUUUAUGUCCAGGGCUACACACGUGUUACAAUGCACGGUACAGACUGUUGCGAACCCGCGAGGGGGAGCUAAUCGGAUAAAACCGUGCUCAGUUCGGAUUGCAGUCUGCAACUCGACUGCAUGAAGCUGGAAUCGCUAGUAAUGGCGUAUCAGAUCGACGCCGUGAAUACGUUCCCGGGCCUUGUACACACCG